UCGAACGAAACUUCUUUAUCACCGAGUGCUUGCACUCACCGAUAAAGAGUUGAGUGGCGAACGGGUGAGUAACACGUGGGCAACCUGCCCAAAAGAGGGGGAUAACACUUGGAAACAGGUGCUAAUACCGCAUAACCAUAGUUACCGCAUGGUAACUAUGUAAAAGGUGGCUAUGCUACCGCUUUUGGAUGGGCCCGCGGCGCAUUAGCUAGUUGGUGGGGUAAAGGCUUACCAAGGCAAUGAUGCGUAGCCGAACUGAGAGGUUGAUCGGCCACAUUGGGACUGAGACACGGCCCAAACUCCUACGGGAGGCAGCAGUAGGGAAUCUUCCACAAUGGGCGAAAGCCUGAUGGAGCAACGCCGCGUGGGUGAAGAAGGUCUUCGGAUCGUAAAACCCUGUUGUUAGAGAAGAAAGUGCGUGAGAGUAACUGUUCACGUUUCGACGGUAUCUAACCAGAAAGCCACGGCUAACUACGUGCCAGCAGCCGCGGUAAUACGUAGGUGGCAAGCGUUAUCCGGAUUUAUUGGGCGUAAAGGGAACGCAGGCGGUCUUUUAAGUCUGAUGUGAAAGCCUUCGGCUUAACCGGAGUAGUGCAUUGGAAACUGGGAGACUUGAGUGCAGAAGAGGAGAGUGGAACUCCAUGUGUAGCGGUGAAAUGCGUAGAUAUAUGGAAGAACACCAGUGGCGAAAGCGGCUCUCUGGU
RNAcentral lists this ribosomal RNA (704 nucleotides) under uncultured bacterium. RNAcentral describes it as "bacterial SSU rRNA". It matches the Rfam family "Bacterial small subunit ribosomal RNA", at positions 62 to 733 of the family's 1533-position model. The record is from RNAcentral.